GGUGAACGCUGGCGGUAGGCCUAACACAUGCAAGUCGAACGGCAGCACAGUAAGAGCUUGCUCUUACGGGUGGCGAGUGGCGGACGGGUGAGGAAUACAUCGGAAUCUACUUUUUCGUGGGGGAUAACGUAGGGAAACUUACGCUAAUACCGCAUACGACCUACGGGUGAAAGCAGGGGAUCUUCGGACCUUGCGCGAUUGAAUGAGCCGAUGUCGGAUUAGCUAGUUGGCGGGGUAAAGGCCCACCAAGGCGACGAUCCGUAGCUGGUCUGAGAGGAUGAUCAGCCACACUGGAACUGAGACACGGUCCAGGCCCCUACGGGAGGCAGCAGUGGGGAAUAUUGGACAAUGGGCGCAAGCCUGAUCCAGCCAUACCGCGUGGGUGAAGAAGGCCUUCGGGUUGUAAAGCCCUUUUGUUGGGAAAGAAAAGCAGCAAGUUAAUACCCCGCUGUUCUGACGGUACCCAAAGAAUAAGCACCGGCUAACUUCGUG
Molecule: ribosomal RNA, 492 nt
Filed under: uncultured bacterium
Lineage: Bacteria
Description: partial 16S ribosomal RNA
Rfam family: Bacterial small subunit ribosomal RNA
Source: RNAcentral